CCUACGGGUGGCAGCAGUGAGGAAUAUUGGUCAAUGGGCGGAAGCCUGAACCAGCCAAGUCGCGUGAGGGAUUAAGGCCCUGCGGGUCGUAAACCUCUUUUGCCGGGGAGCAGAGGUCCGGACGUGUCCGGGCCGGGAGAGUACCCGGAGAAAAAGCAUCGGCUAACUCCGUGCCAGCAGCCGCGGUAAUACGGAGGAUGCGAGCGUUAUCCGGAUUUAUUGGGUUUAAAGGGUGCGUAGGCGGGCAUUUAAGCCGGCGGUCAAAUGUCGGGGCUCAACCCCGGCCUGCCGUCGGAACUGGGUGCCUUGAGUGGGCGAGAAGUAUGCGGAAUGCGUGGUGUAGCGGUGAAAUGCAUAGAUAUCGAGAGGAACACUCGUGGCGAAGGCGGGUUCCUGGACAUUAACUGACGCUGAGGCACGAAGGCCAGGGGAGCGAAAGGGAUUAGAUACCCGAGUAGUC
Molecule: ribosomal RNA, 460 nt
Filed under: uncultured bacterium
Lineage: Bacteria
Description: partial 16S ribosomal RNA
Rfam family: Bacterial small subunit ribosomal RNA
Source: RNAcentral